CGGGACACGUGGUAUCCUGUCUGAAUAUGGGGGGACCAUCCUCCAAGGCUAAAUACUCCUGACUGACCGAUAGUGAACCAGUACCGUGAGGGAAAGGCGAAAAGAACCCCGGCGAGGGGAGUGAAAAAGAACCUGAAACCGUGUACGUACAAGCAGUGGGAGCACGCUUAGGCGUGUGACUGCGUACCUUUUGUAUAAUGGGUCAGCGACUUAUAUUCUGUAGCAAGGUUAACCGAAUAGGGGAGCCGAAGGGAAACCGAGUCUUAACUGGGCGUUAAGUUGCAGGGUAUAGACCCGAAACCCGGUGAUCUAGCCAUGGGCAGGUUGAAGGUUGGGUAACACUAACUGGAGGACCGAACCGACUAAUGUUGAAAAAUUAGCGGAUGACUUGUGGCUGGGGGUGAAAGGCCAAUCAAACCGGGAGAUAGCUGGUUCUCCCCGAAAGCUAUUUAGGUAGCGCCUCGUGAAUUCAUCUCCGGGGGUAGAGCACUGUUUCGGCAAGGGGGUCAUCCCGACUUACCAACCCGAUGCAAACUGCGAAUACCGGAGAAUGUUAUCACGGGAGACACACGGCGGGUGCUAACGUCCGUCGUGAAGAGGGAAACAACCCAGACCGCCAGCUAAGGUCCCAAAGUCAUGGUUAAGUGGGAAACGAUGUGGGAAGGCCCAGACAGCCAGGAUGUUGGCUUAGAAGCAGCCAUCAUUUAAAGAAAGCGUAAUAGCUCACUGGUCGAGUCGGCCUGCGCGGAAGAUGUAACGGGGCUAAACCAUGCACCGAAGCUGCGGCAGCGACGCUGAUGCGUUGUUGGGUAGGGGAGCGUUCUGUAAGCCUGCGAAGGUGUGCUGUGAGGCAUGCUGGAGGUAUCAGAAGUGCGAAUGCUGACAUAAGUAACGAUAAAGCGGGUGAAAAGCCCGCUCGCCGGAAGACCAAGGGUUCCUGUCCAACGUUAAUCGGGGCAGGGUGAGUCGACCCCUAAGGCGAGGCCGAAAGGCGUAGUCGAUGGGAAACAGGUUAAUAUUCCUGUACUUGGUGUUACUGCGAAGGGGGGACGGAGAAGGCUAUGUUGGCCGGGCGACGGUUGUCCCGGUUUAAGCGUGUAGGCUGGUUUUCCAGGCAAAUCCGGAAAAUCAAGGCUGAGGCGUGAUGACGAGGCACUACGGUGCUGAAGCAACAAAUGCCCUGCUUCCAGGAAAAGCCUCUAAGCAUCAGGUAACAUCAAAUCGUACCCCAAACCGACACAGGUGGUCAGGUAGAGAAUACCAAGGCGCUUGAGAGAACUCGGGUGAAGGAACUAGGCAAAAUGGUGCCGUAACUUCGGGAGAAGGCACGCUGAUAUGUAGGUGAAGUCCCUCGCGGAUGGAGCUGAAAUCAGUCGAAGAUACCAGCUGGCUGCAACUGUUUAUUAAAAACACAGCACUGUGCAAACACGAAAGUGGACGUAUACGGUGUGACGCCUGCCCGGUGCCGGAAGGUUAAUUGAUGGGGUCAGCGCAAGCGAAGCUCUUGAUCGAAGCCCCGGUAAACGGCGGCCGUAACUAUAACGGUCCUAAGGUAGCGAAAUUCCUUGUCGGGUAAGUUCCGACCUGCACGAAUGGCGUAAUGAUGGCCAGGCUGUCUCCACCCGAGACUCAGUGAAAUUGAACUCGCUGUGAAGAUGCAGUGUACCCGCGGCAAGACGGAAAGACCCCGUGAACCUUUACUAUAGCUUGACACUGAACAUUGAGCCUUGAUGUGUAGGAUAGGUGGGAGGCUUUGAAGUGUGGACGCCAGUCUGCAUGGAGCCGACCUUGAAAUACCACCCUUUAAUGUUUGAUGUUCUAACGUUGACCCGUGAUCCGGGUUGCGGACAGUGUCUGGUGGGUAGUUUGACUGGGGCGGUCUCCUCCUAAAGAGUAACGGAGGAGCACGAAGGUUGGCUAAUCCUGGUCGGACAUCAGGAGGUUAGUGCAAUGGCAUAAGCCAGCUUGACUGCGAGCGUGACGGCGCGAGCAGGUGCGAAAGCAGGUCAUAGUGAUCCGGUGGUUCUGAAUGGAAGGGCCAUCGCUCAACGGAUAAAAGGUACUCCGGGGAUAACAGGCUGAUACCGCCCAAGAGUUCAUAUCGACGGCGGUGUUUGGCACCUCGAUGUCGGCUCAUCACAUCCUGGGGCUGAAGUAGGUCCCAAGGGUAUGGCUGUUCGCCAUUUAAAGUGGUACGCGAGCUGGGUUUAGAACGUCGUGAGACAGUUCGGUCCCUAUCUGCCGUGGGCGCUGGAGAACUGAGGGGGGCUGCUCCUAGUACGAGAGGACCGGAGUGGACGCAUCACUGGUGUUCGGGUUGUCAUGCCAAUGGCACUGCCCGGUAGCUAAAUGCGGAAGAGAUAAGUGCUGAAAGCAUCUAAGCACGAAACUUGCCCCGAGAUGAGUUCUCCCUGACUCCUUGAGAGUCCUGAAGGAACGUUGAAGACGACGACGUUGAUAGGCCGGGUGUGUAAGCGCAGCGAUGCGUUGAGCUAACCGGUACUAAUGAACCGUGAGGCUUAACCUU
Molecule: ribosomal RNA, 2527 nt
Filed under: Escherichia coli
Lineage: Bacteria; Pseudomonadati; Pseudomonadota; Gammaproteobacteria; Enterobacterales; Enterobacteriaceae
Description: partial 23S ribosomal RNA
Rfam family: Bacterial large subunit ribosomal RNA
Source: RNAcentral